CGGAGGGGUUAGCGUUGUUCGGAAUGACUGGGGCGUAAAAGACGCGCGUAGGCGGAUCGUCAAGUCGGGGGUGGAAAUCCCGGGGCGUCAACCCCGGAAACUGGCCUUCGAGACUGUCGGUCUUGAGUUCGAGAGAGGUGAGUGGAAUUCCGAGUGUAGAGGUGAAAUUACGUAGAUAUUCGGUAGGAACACCAGUGGCGGAAGGCGGCUCACUGGCUCGACACUGACGCUGAGGUGCGAAAGCGUGGGGAGCAAACAGGAUU
Molecule: ribosomal RNA, 263 nt
Filed under: uncultured bacterium
Lineage: Bacteria
Description: partial 16S ribosomal RNA
Rfam family: Bacterial small subunit ribosomal RNA
Source: RNAcentral